UAAAUAGAUAGGUGUAUGUGAAAGUGUUUUAAUUGGGCAUAAAGGGGGUUGUGUAGCUCUCCUUGGAAGGCAGAGGUCCUGGGGAUAACAAUAAUGGACACGAUGUUUGUCGAUGUGGCAGUCUGCAUGACCACAUUCAUAGUUUACAAUUGAUAUAUAUGUUCCUUGGAUUGGCGUGGGGUCGUUGAUUCGCUAGCCUUUCCUUGGACUUUUCUAGUUUGUGCUGCUAACAUGCAAUGGCGCCCUUCUAAUGAGGGGAGAUGAAUUAAUAUAUCCCAUGGGUGUUUUAGGAUUGUUAGAUAUACAAUGUCUAGGUUAAUGAUUUUAAAAUCUCAUACAUAAACAUUGAUCCCUAUCCUGACAUCUUCUAUAUAUCUAUAUAUGAAUGUGUGUAUAUAGUUUUGGAAUGACUUUGGACAUGACAGUAUUUUCUCCCUUCCUUAAGUGACAUGCUAGCGCUGACCCCACUAAAUAUCCUCGGAUG
RNAcentral lists this long non-coding RNA (484 nucleotides) under Capsicum annuum. RNAcentral describes it as "long non-coding RNA (CANN_LNC004966)". Lineage: Eukaryota; Viridiplantae; Streptophyta; Magnoliopsida; Solanales; Solanaceae. The record is from RNAcentral.